UGACUCUUUUAUUCUGGCAGAGCAGGGAGUAUCUACUCUCAGUCCGUCCACAGCAGAUAUUAAAUAGCAUCCCACGAAUAAACAUCCUUCAUCUAUAAGAACCUUAUCACCACACACACCUGCAGGGUGAGCUGGGCAGUCCUGGGGUGGGUGAGUCUCAGGGUGGAAAAAAAUCAACCCAACUCUUACAAGUCAGUCAAAUAUACUAAGAAGGUAAAUCUCCAUAAGCCACUUGCAGAAGCCAGCUAGAGUCCUCUUGUCCAAAGCUGGGUCAUAACCCACCAAAAACAAUCAGUGGGGAGGGAAAGAGGCAGCUCAAAAGUCAAGCAACUGGUGAGUCGUCCAGAUGAAGGAAAAGCAGAGCUUUCUGUCCUCUCUGAGCACCUCAAGGAGGAUUCUUGAGCCCUGUGAUCCCCUGGUAUACAGUAGAGAAAGGUUCCUAUAACAGCUACUGGCAGCAGCUUAUUUUUGCCAAGGACUCCAGGCAGGUCCGAAAGUGCAAGGUGCAUCCUGAAAUCUUCCAGUCUUCUUGGUACUUAAGAGAAUUUCCCUAGGAUGUCUGGAUGCAUGAGGUUCCAUGUCUGGCUGAUUUCUCCUCCACAAAGGCUAAUCUCCAGAGCUUUGCUCUGAAAUUGUAGAACAAGGGAAGAGGACAUUGCAUGCAUUUCGAAGACGUUUCUCCAAUUUAAAUUUAUUAGAGUUGUUGGAGUUUAGGUUAAGAGCUGAAUAACUGUCAGCAGUCACUACACUCACAAUACUCUUCCGGGUGCAUCGUUGCUUUGCAAGAUUUAAACAUUCUUUUUUGGCCGUGCCUGUAGGAUGUGGAAGUUCCCGGGCCAGGGACUGAACCCGCACCACAGCAGUAACCCAAGCCACUGCAGUGACAAUGCUGGAUCCUUAACCCGAUUUUGCCACCAGAGAACUCCCAGAUUUAAAUGUUCUUGAUAGUGGGACACAACACAAUGACACCUGGGCAGAUAAAAGGCAGAAUUCUCUGUGACUCAGGGCUUAAAAAGAGAGAAGGGCAUCAAGGAAGACCACACACUGGGCCGUCCAGCAGACACAGCAAGCAACCUGGAGCUGCAGAGAGCACCCUAUAUAUAGCAAGUCUCCUGGGGCCAGCUAGGUGUCCUAGGCUCCCUGAGGAUUGCUUGUCUGGAAUAACUUCAUGGGGUCAGGGGCAUACAGGCUGACUCUAGUUGCCUGGUACCCUGCCUCUGGGACAGAAGGAAUGGUGUACAGCAGCCCAGAGGCUGAGCGCCUGAUACAGAGAGUGGUUGGCUGUGGACUUAAUCAGCUGCUCCAAAAGGGGAAAUGAGUAGCCUCAAGCCAGGGACUCAAAGCUGGAUCAAGACACUAUUUUCAUAAAAGUACAGAGCAAAACACUGUGGAACUGCCAUAAAGACAAACAUCUAGACCACUGAAACAGAACAGAGGGCCCAGAACUGAAAGCCAGUAUACUUGAUCAAAUAAUUAACAAGAGUGUCAAGACGAUUCCAUAGAAGAACAGUCUUUCCCACAGAUUGUAGGCAAGUGGCUCUCUCCAUUCAAAUGAACAAAGUUGGACCCUGACCUUAACCACAUCCAAAAAUGUGCUCAAAAUGGAUCAGACCUAACAAGAAGAGGUAAACUCAUAAAACUCUUAGAUGAAGGCAUGGGGGAAAGCUUCAUGACAUUGGGUUUGGAAAUAACUUCUUGGCACUGACAUGAAAAGCAUAGGAAACAAAAGCAAAACUAGGUAAAGUUACAAACGUCUGUGCAAAGGACACAAUCAGCAGUGAAAAAGCAACCUAAUAAAUAGAAGACAAACAUUUGAAAAUCCUAUGUGUGAUAAGUGGUUUGUAUCUAGAUUGUAUAAAGAACUGCUAUAACGCAUCCAUAAGAACACAACUUGAUUUUAAAAGGGGCAAACAUAAGACGUUUUUACAAAGAAUGAACACAAAUGGCCAAGAAGGCAUGAUCACUAAUCAGUAGGGAAAUGCUAUAACAAAAAACAAAAAAACCCCAAAACCCACAAUGAAGGAGAAACUACCUCAUACCCAUUAGGACAGCUACUAUGAAACCUGAAAUGGAAAGCAGAAUUAAGUUGAUGAAGAUGCAGACAUUAGAACGAUGUGAAGUUUUGAUGGGAAUAUAACAUGCUCAAGCUGGUAAAACAGGUCGACAUAUUAAAAAUAGCAUGAUCACAUGAUCCAGGAAUUCUACUUCUGUUUAUACCCCCAGAAGAACUGAAAGCAGUAUUUUCAAGGAGGUAUGUGUGGAAGUUCCCUUGUGGCGCAGCAGGUUAAAGAUCCAGCAUUGCUGCAGCUGUGGCACAGGUCACAAUGUGGCAUGGGUUCAAUCCCUGGCUCAGGAACUUCCACAUGCCAAACAAACAAAAGAACAAAUCAAGGAGCUAUCUGUGCAGUCAUUUUCACAGCAGCACUUUUUGCGAAUGAGUUUUUUUUUUUUUUUUUUUUUUUUUUUNNNNNNUUUUUUUUUUUUUUUUUUGUCUUUUGUUGCUAUUUCUUGGGCCGCUCCCGCGGCAUAUGGAGGUUCCCAGGCUCGGGGAACAUGAUGGCUUUCAAGAGUGAGCUACAGGAGUUCCCGUCGUGGCUCAGUGGUUAACGAACCCAACUAGGAACCAUGUGGUGGCAGGUUUGAUCCCUGGCCUUGCUCAGUAGGUUAAGGAUCCGGUGUUGCCGUGAGCUGUGGUGUAGAUGAGCUGUGGUAUAGGUUGCAGACUCGGCUCAGAUCCCACGUUGCUGUGGCUCUGGCGUAGGCCAGUGGCUACAGCUCCGAUUGGACCCCUAGCUUGGAAACCUCCAUAUGCCAUGGGAGCGGCCCUCAAAAGGCAAAAAGACGAAAAAAAAAAAAAAAAAAAAAAAAA
This 2869-nucleotide long non-coding RNA is filed under the name Sus scrofa (pig). RNAcentral's name for it is "lncRNA (ENSSSCG00030044293.1)". Lineage: Eukaryota; Metazoa; Chordata; Mammalia; Artiodactyla; Suidae. The record is from RNAcentral.